This 388-nucleotide ribosomal RNA is filed under the name Bacillus cereus. Its description in RNAcentral is "bacterial SSU rRNA". It matches the Rfam family "Bacterial small subunit ribosomal RNA", at positions 557 to 944 of the family's 1533-position model. The record is from RNAcentral. Lineage: Bacteria; Bacillati; Bacillota; Bacilli; Caryophanales; Bacillaceae.
GGCGUAAGCGCGCGCAGGUGGUUUCUUAAGUCUGAUGUGAAAGCCCACGGCUCAACCGUGGAGGGUCAUUGGAAACUGGGAGACUUGAGUGCAGAAGAGGAAAGUGGAAUUCCAUGUGUAGCGGUGAAAUGCGUAGAGAUAUGGAGGAACACCAGUGGCGAAGGCGACUUUCUGGUCUGUAACUGACACUGAGGCGCGAAAGCGUGGGGAGCAAACAGGAUUAGAUACCCUGGUAGUCCACGCCGUAAACGAUGAGUGCUAAGUGUUAGAGGGUUUCCGCCCUUUAGUGCUGAAGUUAACGCAUUAAGCACUCCGCCUGGGGAGUACGGCCGCAAGGCUGAAACUCAAAGGAAUUGACGGGGGCCCGCACAACCGGUGGAGCAUGUGG